UGACCUCGGAUCAGACGUGAUUACCCGCUGAAUUUAAGCAUAUUAUUAAGCGGAGGAAAAGAAACUAACAAGGAUUCCCCUAGUAACGGCGAGUGAACGGGGAAGAGCCCAACACCGAAUCCCUUGGCGCAAGUCAACGGGAAAUGUGGUGUUAAGGUAGCCCUUCGUGUCAGUCUAGGCGUCUCAAGUCCACCUGAUUGUGGCUCAAGCCCAGAGAGGGUGUAAGGCCCGUAGAGACGCUCCGACUGAUUCCUGGGGUUUACCUACGAGUCGGCUUGUUUGGGAAUGCAGGCCAAAGCGGGUGGUAAACUCCAUCCAAGGCUAAAUACUGGCACGAGUCCGAUAGCGGACAAGUACCGUGAGGGAAAGUUGAAAAGAACUUUGAAGAGAGAGUUCAAUAGUACGUGAAACCGCUUAGAGGCAAACGGAUGGUGCUCAUACUGGCCUGAGGAAUUCAACUGUGACGGUGGCUGGACGAGCUGGCGUUCCGAUCUCUCUUUUGGGACGGGCGUCGGUUUGGCUAUCAGCUCUGACAUGGUGCACUUUCCUUGGUGCCUCCGCCACGACCGACGACACUGGCUACCCGCGGCUGGGGUAAGGUGACAAACUGCUUCGGCAAUUUGUGUUAUAGACCCCGGCGUCGGACAUGGUUUGGCCAGGACGUCGAGCUUGCGGCGCCCGCUCCUUGUGGGCUCGCAUGUUGGCUAGCUUGGCUGCGCCGAUGCUUGCACUGGACAACCAGUACAGGUGACGGUUGUGGUCUUGUCUCUAGUUGGCCUCUGCGAGUUUGGCGCCUAUAGUCUGUGGUGUACUUGUGGGUAGACUAUCCGACCCGUCUUGAAACACGGACCAAGGAGUCUAACAUGUGCGCGAGUCAUGGGGAUUCUACGAAACCCAAAGGCGCAGUGAAAGUAAAGGCCUGCUUCUCGUAGGCUGAGGUGGGAUCUCGUGCAUCGCGAUUGGCGAGCGCACCACCGGCCCGUCCUAUCUGUCUCUGUCAGUGGGGCGGCGCAAGAGCGUACACGUUGGGACCCGAAAGAUGGUGAACUAUGCUUGCGCAGCUCGAAGUCAGUGGAAACACUGAUGGAGGAGCGCAGCGUUUCUGACGUGCAAAUCGAUCGUCAAACGUGAGUAUAGGGGCGAAAGACUAAUCGAACCAUCUAGUAGCUGGUUCCCUCCGAAGUUUCCCUCAGGAUAGCUGGCACUCGGGAAACAGUUUUAUCCGGUAAAGCGAAUGAUUAGAGGCAUUGGGGUCGAAACGACCUCGACCUAUUCUCAAACUUUAAAUGGGUAAGAUGCUCGUCUCGCUUAAUUGGAGGCGGGCUUCACCUCUCUAACGUGAAUGUGAGUGCCCAGUGGGCCAUUUUUGGUAAGCAGAACUGGCGCUGUGGGAUGAACCAAACGCGCGGUUAAGGCGCCCAAUGCGGACGCUCAUGAGACACCACAAAAGGUGUUGGUCGAUACUGACAGCAGGACGGUGGCCAUGGAAGUCGGAACCCGCUAAGGAGUGUGUAACAACUCACCUGCCGAAUCAACCAGCCCUGAAAAUGGAUGGCGCUGGAGCGUCGGGCCUAUACCGUGCCGUUGGGGCGAAGCAGACAAAUAAUCUGUGUGGAUGUCCCAACGAGUAGGAGGGUCGCCGUGGUGAGCGCAGAAGGUGCGGCCGUGAGGCCGGCUGGAGCCGCCACGGGCGCAGAUCUUGGUGGUAGUAGCAAUUACUCAAGUGAGAACCUUGAGGACUGAAGUGGAGAAGGGUUCCAUGUGAACAGCAGUUGAACAUGGGUCAGGCGGUCCUAAGCGAUCGGGUAACUCCGUACCUAGACGAGGGUGACAACUAUCACUUAACUAAAAAUUGUGACGUGUUAUAGCCCUCCGGAGCGAAAGGGAAUCGUGUUAAUAUUCACGACCCUUACCGUGGAGAUCGCCCCUUUCGGGGGGCAAGUGCGGUAACGCAAACGAACACAGAGACGUCGGCUGGAGCCCCGGGAAGAGUUCUCUUUUCUUUGUAAGGAGCGUACCCCCUGGAAUCGGCUUGUCCGGAGAUAGGGGCGUGGCUUCCGUAAAGCAGCGCGGGUCUUGCGCUGUCCGGUGCACUCUAGUCGGCCCUUGAAAAUCUGUGGGAGACAGUGUGAUUUUCACGGUAGGCCGUACCCAUAUCCGCAGCAGGUCUCCAAGGUGAACAGCCUCUAGUCCUAGAACAAUGUAGGUAAGGGAAGUCGGCAAAAUGGAUCCGUAACUUCGGGAAAAGGAUUGGCUCUGAGGGCUGGGUCGGAUGGGCUGGCGUAAGAAGCUGUUCCGGUUUUGGUGAGGACUGGGCGAGGCUUUCGGGCUUUACUCGGACCAUGCCGAGACCAGGCAGUAGACGACGUCAGCUGUGCUUGUCGUGUUUCGGCGCGGCAGCUUCGUCCGGCAACAAACAGCCAACUCAGAACUGGCACGGACUAGGGGAAUCCGACUGUCUAAUUAAAACAAAGCAUUGCGAUGGCUGUUGCUCGGUGUUGACGCAAUGUGAUUUCUGCCCAGUGCUCUGAAUGUCAAAGUGAAGAAAUUCAAUCAAGCGCGGGUAAAACGGCGGGAGUAACUAUGACUCUCUUUGGACUCUGUUCAAUCAAGCGCCUGCGACUGCGCAAACUGUUAGAUGACUGGAAACACUUCUUUUGUUCCUAUUCGCUCCCCCUCCUCGGAGGGUUGCCCCAGUUUCUGCCCGAAACCUUAUUCAGAACCAGGCCCCACCCGGUCUGGCCACAGGCUAACCGCCGGCCACUGGGCCCCCCUCUGGGACCCGCGUUCCGGUCGGGCGCCUUCUCCUGGACCGGGUGGUUUCAAGGCGCGCGGGCCUCUGGACGGGAGCCGCUUUUCUUCUAUUAAAGCCGAAACCACGAGGAUGGCACCUUUUUGCCUCCUCGGAACCCGGGGGAGGGCUGGGGGGUGGCUUUGCCUCCCCCUCCGCCCCCCCUGUCCCCUCGUGAUUUGGAUCUGUUGCGUGUGUACAUCGCAUGUUUCCAGAGGAACAGCGCCCAAGCCGGGCUCGUCCACCCUUCCGGGCCGGAGGCCCGUCGGGAGGGCGUGGGCCUCGAAAACUACCCGGAGGCUGGUGCGGACUUCAGAGCUACCCAUUAAAUGAGCUCAAACUGGUGGUCUGGUCGCGCAAUCCACGGCAGAAGCCGGGUGUGCUUCCGGUUCCGCACCAACGUGCUGUGUGGAGGUGGCUCUUUUUAGGACCACGCGGAGCCCGGCGGCCGAGUGCCAGCCCGGGGCUGGCCUGUUGCGGAGGGUAUGUCCGGCCCUCUCAGGUCUUAUCUCGCCCUGGUAGGCCAGAUGAGGUUGAGUCGAGAGGACCCCCGAGUCCAACGACCGCCACAUUAUAACGUGUUAGACCAUACUAUAUGAAGUGAU
This is a non-coding RNA of Macrostomum lignano, 3396 nucleotides long. Lineage: Eukaryota; Metazoa; Platyhelminthes; Macrostomidae. The record is from Rfam.